This 245-nucleotide ribosomal RNA is filed under the name uncultured bacterium. RNAcentral's name for it is "partial 16S ribosomal RNA". It matches the Rfam family "Bacterial small subunit ribosomal RNA", at positions 89 to 334 of the family's 1533-position model. The record is from RNAcentral.
CGACGACCGGCGCACGGGUGAGUAACGCGUAUGCAACCUACCUACAACUGGGGGAUAGCUUUCGGAGACGGAAAUUAAUACCCCAUAGUACCUAGAUACCGCAUGGUAUUAAGGUUAAAACUCCGGUGGUUGUAGAUGGGCAUGCGUGCCAUUAGCUUGUUGGUGAGGUAACGGCUCACCAAGGCUACGGUGGCUAGGGGGUCUAAAAGGAUGGUCCCCCACACUGGUACUGAGACACGGACCAG